Molecule: ribosomal RNA, 332 nt
Filed under: uncultured eukaryote
Lineage: Eukaryota
Description: partial 18S ribosomal RNA
Rfam family: Eukaryotic small subunit ribosomal RNA
Source: RNAcentral
CCCUUAGAUGUCCUGGGCUGCACGCGCGCUACACUGGAAGUUACGGAUUGAGAUACUACCUUGUCCGAAAUGGUCCGGGUAAUCACCUAAAAGCUUGUCAUAAUUGGAAUGGAUUAUUGUAACUAGUAAUCCUGAACGAGGAAUUCCUAGUAAGUCCCAGUCAACAGCUGGUACUGAUUACGUCCCUGUCCUUUGUACACACCGCCCGUCGCUACUACUGAUUGGACGUUUAAGCAAGAUUUUUAAACACUGACAGUGUGUAGUUCACGCUAUACUACAGUGAGAAGAAGAAGAUCGAGCUUACUUGUCUAGAGGAAGUAAAAGUCGUAACA